UUAUAAAGAUUUUACAGAAUUCACAAAUUCUCUAUACUUCUCCCUACUUCCAGAGAUUCACAUUUUUUUAUCUUUAUCAUCAGAACCAAAGCGUUAACCACUCAUCAUUUGCUCUAUCACACAGACCACUUUCAAUUCACCCUGUUUUCUCUAAAAGGGCUUUGGGUUGACCAAAGUUUGCUUCCUACACCUUCUUCUGUUCUUGGCACUCCCAUAUUUGAUUCAUUUUUACUUCAUGUUUCCCACGUAUUAACCCCCAUACCCCUUUAUGUGUUUUAGGCAUUGUAUUCACAUCCUGCACCCGCGUCGGAGUGCACGCACCCCACCUUCUUUUACUUUUUUUUUGUUUGACUAU
Molecule: long non-coding RNA, 355 nt
Filed under: Vigna radiata
Lineage: Eukaryota; Viridiplantae; Streptophyta; Magnoliopsida; Fabales; Fabaceae
Description: long non-coding RNA (VRAD_LNC005975)
Source: RNAcentral